RNAcentral lists this long non-coding RNA (697 nucleotides) under Homo sapiens (human). Its description in RNAcentral is "non-protein coding LINC02109:33". The record is from RNAcentral. Lineage: Eukaryota; Metazoa; Chordata; Mammalia; Primates; Hominidae.
CAGAGACAGAGGAAAGGCUGAAGGUUGAGUUGAUUACCAGUAGCUCACGAUAUAAUCAUUCAUGCCUACAUAACACAGCUUUCAUAAGAACCCAAUAGGACAGGGUUCAAGGACCCUCUAAAGAAUGCCACACCUAUAGAGGCAUGGAAACUCUUUGCCACUUUCAUCUGACUAUUGAUCUAUAUCCUUUGUAAUGCCUCUUAUAAGAAAUGGGCAGAUUCUAGCAGUGUUUGUGAGAAAAACUGAUGGAUCCUGCAGAUUAACUAUGGACAGCCAAAUAUUGAGUAAAGUGAUGUCUACAACAGCAUCAGCUAUGCCUGAUAUGGUGUUAAUUCACAUUGUGAAGUCCUCAAUAGGAAAAAGAUGCCUCCCUGGUCGACCUUCCUGGAAAGUAUGCAUAUCAUUACUGCUUAGAUUUUGUUGGAGAGAAAUCACACUACCAUCAAAGACAACGGGUCAAAAAGAAUGCCGUCCUAAGCUGAGAAGCCAUCUUCCUAACGACAGCCAUGUAAUAUGAAAGGGAAAAACACACUGUUAUUGAAGAACUUAUCAGCUAUGUCACAUCUUCCACACAAAUACUCAGGAAAGUUAAAAGAAAAUUUUACCUCGGACACAGUUGAUGUACCUCAGUCUUGUACAAAACUUAGAACUCACUAAGUCUGAAAUAAGACUUUAAACUCUCUCUGAGGUGAAGUUG